This is a non-coding RNA of Megalopta genalis, 3008 nucleotides long. NCBI's taxonomy places the organism in Eukaryota, Metazoa, Arthropoda, Insecta, Hymenoptera, Halictidae. The record is from RefSeq and is a predicted model, not a curated record.
AGUACCGAACAAGUGUGAAACAAACAAUCGAAUAUCUAGUCGAAGUACACUGCUCCGUCUCCAAACGAAAAAUACAUGGUCUUUUCGAAAAUCGAAUCUUAUAUAGUCCCCGGAUCCCUUACCGAUAAGGUGACCUUUAUUGUUCACGUUUAUUGCCCUCGGUACAGUCCUACUACGUCACGUUUUUGCGUGCGAAAUUCAGUAAUUCCCUUCCGGCUAAUAGCGGCAAGGGUGUAAAUACCUGGGCAAAUUUCUCGGCAGUCCGUUUGUCCCCGGCAAUUACAGCUUCCCCAUGCAUCGGACGCAGUUUACAGAAAACCUGUAUUGAGAACACUGGGCUGUUGCGGGACAGCGAUAAUUAUUCGCGUAUUUCGAUACAGAUCCAUUUAACGACGGAGGUAUGUUUUAUUAUCCUAUUCGGAGGAUUCCGUAACGCGGACGAGCAUUUUUACAGAGUUCCUUAUCGUUUAUCAUUAAUUAUGUCGACGCCGUUGAUUAGCCUAUGCGCGUGGAACACGUUUCUUGUACGUUCAUCGUUCGUCGAGCUAACAGGUUACAGUUAAGUUUUUAAUCGUCAUUGUUGCUCGAUCUCGACAUUACAAGAACAACCUUUCGCUUUGAGUAUUUUCGUGCAUGGGGACCAUUCAGAAGGGUUGAGGAUCGGAGGAACGAGGAUGGUGAAUCAGAUAUCCUCGGGAAACCCGAAGAAAGGAAGCGAGACAGUGAGGGGUACUUAGAAGGGGUACAAAUACGUACUGUAUAGUUAAUAUAAUAAUACUUUCACCGAAAUCUAAUUUAUUGUCGAAAUCUCGCUGAAAUCCCAUCAUGGUAACUCAAGCUCUGUCGACUUCUUCUUUGAAGCGAUCCUUCUUCAGUCGUUAAUUUUAGAUUUUUUCGAGACGAUGUACGAUUUACGGAUCGUAGCAACAAAGAUACACGUUCACAGACUAUCAUUCUAGAAAAUUACGUGCUAGGAGCAUCGUUCGUUACGUUAAAUAAGAGAAGUUCAUUUUACAAAGCUCGCCAGAGAAUCGCAAUUAAGCAUAGAAUUAGCUCGCUAUUAUCUAUCAUGCGCGUUAACUUUACAGAGAUUUCUACCAACGUUUAAUUGUCCGCAGCCGAACGAUCUAAAAUCGGCUUUCGUGAAUUCAACGAUUUCACGGCGUCUAUUUACAUCGCUGUAUGCCGAACCUAUCAGCGUAUUACAGAGUCGGAAUGUUUAUUUGCAUGUGUACUCCUCGGUGCGUUCGGUGCAUGUUUCGCAAUGCACUCGGCAGCACCAGUGAAACUUGCAUCUGCACUGCCACGUUCGCGUGAACUGGUGCGUGUUGUAUCCGCGGCCGCAACACAUCAGAUCGCAUCCGUCUGUUCCUGAAAAAUGUCAACAUUUUCAUAUGAACAUCAAUCGUGUCCAAUCGAUUUUUCGAGUAAUGCAUCGGCCGAAGAUUCGACAAAAAAGUUUCGAGAAAUGAGCAGAGUUGCUGAAUAAUGGAAGGAUUAUGGUGGACGAGUGAUUUCUAAAAAAUGUGUUUUGCUCAAUUGAAUUUCAUUUUCUAAGCCAACGAACCCUAUUGUAAAUAAUUGAUUCUUUCUAUUCGAACAAUGUUCUGAGAACCGCGAUUGACGGAACAUUCGUGUUUUUGCCUGUUUUGUAAGACGCGCGUCACAAGUAGACUGUAGAUUUUAUGCGUUUAUGACAAAAAUGAAAUGAUGAAAAUUGUAACAGAGAAAAGAUCAGAUGAAAUUCAGAAUGUUGACGUAUCAAUUUAGACUUAUUAAAAUCAUUUAAAAAAGAGAAUGAAUAUUAUACUUGGCUCAUUUGUCUUGCUAUCGAUGCAGACAAUUUUUAUUUUGCAUGAAGAUCCGCGGUCUAUGAAUUUAAUUCGCAUUUACGUUAUGCAUCUUGUAAAAUAAAAGGAAACGUUCGUAUCAGCUGAAUUAUUUUAUUCCGAAUACGUAGAUCUACCAGCGGGCUAACAACAGUUUCAGUUAAUUUUAUUUCAAACUGUCUAUGAAAAUAUGAAUCCGGCUAUAAAAUAUAACUUGUUGAUUUAAUCCUUUCAGGACGAAUGCCGACAUAUUGACGACGUCGGGAUUGCACAAUUUAUUUCCAAUGGUGUUGCAUGCAUGUUCAAUAAAUUUUCCCCAAUCGACGCUCAGAUUGUGCGCGUGAUUGUGCGUGAUUCCGAUUGUUACCAAGUUGCUCCACGUUUCAAGCAACUUAUUUUCAUUGUUAUCUGGUCGAUUGUGUCGGUUAAUGUCGUUGCGUGUGGUGCGUUUCCAGUCGGAACCGCGCGUUUGGCAUUCGGCUCGAUUUCAUUCGUUCUACCUUUGCUGGUCCGAUUGCAAUAUCUGCCCUGCGUUCCCAGGCUGCCUUGAGCCAAAUCCGGCUCGCAGUAAUUAGGGGAAGGUUGCAGAAAAACCAACUCGCUUCUCUUUGGAAUUCUUUUCUGUCCUAUGGCCGAUCCGCCGCUAGAUUUCGUCCGUUUCAACACCAGGUGCGGCCGUCUCGGUUUAAUUGCUUUCUUCGGGGGUUGCCGGUCGUGCCGGGACUUGCCGACGUCGUUCGGUUUCCCUUGGGUUUUCGCGUCGUUCCCCAGAAUCGGCGACAUUUCCGCAGACGUCAAGUGCAGCGUGUCUAGACUCUACAUUCGGAAAUAAAUAAAUAAAUGAUAAGUAAAUCGAAGACACGGGUAACCCCGAAUGUGGUCUUUCAACAUUGUUUCACAUUGUUAGUAUUGCAAAUACUACUACAAUAGUAUUCCAAAUAUGUACCACGUUUUGGUGGUAUCAGGAACAAUCGAAUAUCAACCACAACGGAUCUCAAAAAUAUUAAAGUAAUUUCGUUAAUAAGAUCGUAACCGGAAAGUUCGAUCUCGAUUUCUUUUCUAAAAAAUAUCAAAUGUGUUACUAAAUCUAGAGUUCUGGAUGGUCAAAAAUGUUAUUCUGGCGAGGGAAGAAUGUAAAUGUUAGCGAGAAAAAUGAAAUGAAUGUGUUGAUGAAUGAAA